CGGCCCUCGUGCCGAAGCUAAAGUACUAAGUGCGCCGCCUGGGGAGUACGGCCGCAAGGCUAAAACUCAAAGGAAUUGACGGGGGCUCACACAACCGGUGGAGCAUGUGGAUCAAUUCGAAGCAACGCGAAGAACCUUACCUGGGUUUGACAUGCACGGAUGCCCUUCUGGAAACAGGAGUAAGCUGCCUUCGGGUGAAACGUGCACAGGUGCUGCAUGGCUGUCGUCAGCUCGUGCUGUGAAGUGUCGGGUUAAGUCCCUUAACGAGCGAAACCCUUCUCGCUAGUUGCCAGCGGCUCAUCCCGGCAACUCUAGCGAGACUGCCGGCCCUCCGCCGGACGCGAAGGUGGGGAUGACGUCAAGUCAUCAUGGCCUUUAUGCCCAGGGUGUCACACGUGCUACAAUGGGGCGUACAGAGCGACGCAAGACCGUGAGGUGGAGCAAAUCGCAGAAAGCGUCCCUCAGUUCGGAUCGGGGUCUGCAACUCGACCCCGUGAAGCUGGAAUCGCUAGUAAUCGCGUCUCCGCCAUGACGCCGUGNAUAUGUUCAUGAGCAUUGUACACACCGCCCGUCAAGUCAUGGAAGCUGGG
RNAcentral lists this ribosomal RNA (590 nucleotides) under uncultured organism. Its description in RNAcentral is "bacterial SSU rRNA". It matches the Rfam family "Bacterial small subunit ribosomal RNA", at positions 835 to 1415 of the family's 1533-position model. The record is from RNAcentral.